CAACUGGUAACACAUCUCAUUACAAUCAUUACUAAAUAAAGAGAGUAAAAUUAACAUUGCAGGAUAACCAAGAACUUUGGUGCUUGAUGAAUAGGAGGGACAGGGAAUGAGAGAGCAAUUAUUCAGGACACAACAUCACAUUGUUUAAGGAGGUCUCUGGAGAUUGUUCUAGUGAUGAAACAUUAACUGGUUUCAUCCACAUCAAAGAAAGGUUAUGACUAAAGCCCAUAGGUGACUAUCAGUUCUUAUAUUUGCAAUAGCAAAAUUUCAAAAGCACUAUUAGUUAUAGAAGAAACAUUGGACUCAUAAGUUGACAAUCUUGAAAAGUACAAUGAGGGAUGGAAAGAAAAGUACUUGCAAAUCAGAGAGAAAUUUAAAGCUGAAUUUAAUAGAAACCCUUACCUAAUUCCCGGAAUUGAGCUCUUAGAAGACAUACUUUGAAUUCGCAAAAGUAGGUUAGAAAAAAACAUUCUGGGUGUCAGUCAAACACAAGUUUCUGUACAAA
Molecule: long non-coding RNA, 505 nt
Filed under: Vitis vinifera (wine grape)
Lineage: Eukaryota; Viridiplantae; Streptophyta; Magnoliopsida; Vitales; Vitaceae
Description: long non-coding RNA (VVIN_LNC004732)
Source: RNAcentral